RNAcentral lists this ribosomal RNA (506 nucleotides) under Sulcomitrella monodonta. Its description in RNAcentral is "partial large subunit ribosomal RNA". It matches the Rfam family "Bacterial large subunit ribosomal RNA", at positions 1819 to 2600 of the family's 2925-position model. The record is from RNAcentral. Lineage: Eukaryota; Metazoa; Mollusca; Gastropoda; Neogastropoda; Columbellidae.
GGCUCUUUGAGUAGAAAAGAUAUAGAGUCGGACCUGCCCAGUGAGAUUUUUUUAACGGCCGCGGUACUCUAACCGUGCAAAGGUAGCAUAAUCAUUUGCCUUAUAAUUGAAGGCUUGUAUGAAUGGUUUGACAAGAGUAUAGCUGUCUCUGUAUAAUUUUAUAGAAUUUUAUUUUAAAGUGAGGAAGCUUUAAUAGUAUUAAUAGACAAGAAGACCCUAUCGAGCUUUAAAAAAAUUGUAGGUUUUAAGAUAAUUUUAGAAAAUUAACUACAAGAAAUUUUAGUUGGGGCGACUUAGGAACAUGAAAAGCUUCCUAAAAUUUAGUAGUAAGCAAAUUUGAUCCAAAAGAUUUUGAUUAAUGAAAUUAGUUACCGUAGGGAUAACAGCAUUAUCUUCUUUGAGAGUUCUAAUCGAAAAGAGGGUUUGUGACCUCGAUGUUGGACCAGAAUGUCCUAAAGAUGUAGCAGUCUUUAAGGGUUGGUCUGUUCGACCAUUAAAAUUCUACG